AAUAUUGGACAAUGGGGGCAACCCUGAUCCACCCAUGCCGCGUGUGUGAAAAAGGUCUUCGGAUUGUAAAGAACUUUAAGUUGGGAGGAAGGGCUUUAGGUUACACCCCUGAAGUUUUGAGGUUACCACCAGAAAAAGCACGGGCUAACCCGUUGCAGGCAGCCGCGGUAAUACAGAGGUUGCAAGCGUUAAUCGGAAUUACUGGGCGUAAAGCGCGCGUAGGUGGUUCAGUAAGAUGGGUGUGAAAUCCCCGGGCUUAACCUGGGAACUGCUUUCAUAACUGCUGAGCUAGAGUACGGUAGAGGGUAGUGGAAUUUCCUGUGUAGCGGUGAAAUGCGUAGAUAUAGGAAGGAACACCAGUGGCGAAGGCGACUACCUGGACUGAUACUGACACUGAGGUGCGAAAGCGUGGGGAGCAAAC
This 421-nucleotide ribosomal RNA is filed under the name uncultured bacterium. RNAcentral describes it as "partial 16S ribosomal RNA". It matches the Rfam family "Bacterial small subunit ribosomal RNA", at positions 360 to 773 of the family's 1533-position model. The record is from RNAcentral.